UACGAAGGGGGCUAGCGUUGCUCGGAAUUACUGGGCGUAAAGGGCGCGUAGGCGGAUAUCUAAGUUGGGGGUGAAAUCCCGGGGCUCAACCUCGGAAUUGCCUUCAAAACUGGAUAUCUUGAGUUCGGGAGAGGUGAGUGGAACUCCGAGUGUAGAGGUGAAAUUCGUAGAGAUGUGGAGGAACACCGAUGACGAAGGCAGCCUCCUGGGCCAGCACUGACGCUCAUGCACGAAAGCGUGGGGAGCAAACAGG
RNAcentral lists this ribosomal RNA (253 nucleotides) under uncultured bacterium. RNAcentral describes it as "partial 16S ribosomal RNA". It matches the Rfam family "Bacterial small subunit ribosomal RNA", at positions 524 to 776 of the family's 1533-position model. The record is from RNAcentral.